This 41516-nucleotide long non-coding RNA is filed under the name Triticum aestivum (bread wheat). Its description in RNAcentral is "long non-coding RNA (TAES_LNC012299)". The record is from RNAcentral. Lineage: Eukaryota; Viridiplantae; Streptophyta; Magnoliopsida; Poales; Poaceae.
UACAUUUUCCUAGACAUAUAUUUUUUUCCUUUGAAAAAUUUCUAAAGUUUUUAGUAACUUCAAAAUAAAAGUGAAUCAAACUAAACAAGAUUGAUAGCAACUACUCUCAUAAGUGCCUAGAGCCUAUAUCAUGUAUUGAAAUUACUUGGGACCUCAUAAAUUUGACAUGCAAGCUCAAGAACAGGGUCACCUAGGCAGCAAAAAUUUGCAAUGAAUAAAGCACUGGAACAAAAACUAAUUGGAUCAUUGGAGGAGUCACAUACCAAGGAACAAUCUCCCAAAGCAGUUUUGUGAAUGGAGCUUUGAGCAAGGAGAUUGAAAAUCGCAGCAAAAUGAGCUAGAACUCGUGCUUGAGCUGGAUGGGGAUUUUUUGGGGAGGAAGAUGGAGUGUGUUGGUGCAGGAAUAAGUGGAGGGGUGCCACCGUGGGCCCACAAGGCAGGGGGCGCGCCCAGGAAGAGUGGGCACGCACUGGACCCUCGUGGCCAGGUGCUUUCCCCCUGCUGUGUUCUCAGUGCCUAAAAUCCUCAAAUAUUCCAUAAAGAAUCAUACUAAAUUUGCAGGGAGAACUUUUAUUUUUGGGAUAUUUUUUUUAUUGCAUGGAUAAUUCAGAAAAUAGACAGAUAAUACUAUUUUUUCUUUAUUUAUUCUAAAUAACAGAAAGUAAAAAGAGGGUACAGAAGGUUGUGCCUUCUAGUUUCAUCCGUCUCAUGAUCAUCAAAAGGAAUCCACUAACAAGGUUGAUCAAGUCUUGUUAACAAACUCAUUCCGAAUAACAUGGAACCGGAGACAUUUCGAAUAACACUAGGUUACCUCAACGGGGAUAUGAACAUCCCCAACAAUAAGAAUAUCAUACUUUUUCUUGACAGUAGGAAGAGGAAAUUCAAAACCUCCAAUAAUGAUACUUGGAAUUUUUCCAAUAGAAUUGAUGCUGUGAACUUGAGGUUGUUUCCUCGGAAAGUGUACCGUAUGCUCAUUACCAUUAACAUGAAAAGUGAAAUUGCCUUUGUUGCAAUUAAUAACAACCCCUGUAGUAUUCAAAAAGGGUCUACCAAGGAUAAUGGACAUACUAUCGUCCUCGGGAAUAUCAAGAAUGACAAAGUCCGUUAAGAUAGUGACAUUUGCAACCACAACAGGCACAUCCUCACAAAUACCGACAAGUAUAUCAGUUGAUUUAUCGGCCAUUUGCAACGAUAUUUCAGUAGGUGUCAACUUAUUCAAUUCAAGUCUACAAUAUAAAGAGAGAGGCAUAACACUAACUCCGGCUCCAAGAUCACAUAAAGCAGUUUUAACAUAGUUUAUUUUAAUGGAGCAAGGUAUUGUUGGUACCCCUGGAUCUCCAAGUUUCUUUGAUAUUCCACCUUUAAAAGUGUAAUUAGCAACCAUGGUGGAAAUUUCAGCUUCCGGUAUCUUUCUUUUAUUUGUAAUGAUAUCCUUCAUAUAUUUAGAAUAAGGCUUUACUUUAAGCAUAUCAGUUAAGCGCAUACGUAAGAAGAUAGGCCUAAUCAUUUUAGCAAAGCGCUCAAAGUCCUCAUCAUCCUUUGUCUUGUAUGGUUUAGGAGGAAAAUGAUGGAAAUAUGCCCUAGAGGCAAUAAUAAAGUUAUUAUUUAUUUCCUUAUUUCAUGAUAAAUGUUUAUUAUUCAUGCUAGAAUUGUAUUAACCAGAAACAUAAUACAUGUGUGAAUACAUAGACAAACAUAGUGUCACUAGUAUGCCUCUACUUGACUAGCUCGUGAAUCAAAGAUGGUUAAGUUUCCUAGCCAUAGACAUGAGUUGUCAUUUGAUUAAUGGGAUCACAUCAUUAGGAGAAUGAUGUGAUUGACAUGACCCAUUCCGUUAGCCUAGCACUUUAAAUCAUUUAGUAUGUUGCUAUUGCUUUCUUCAUGACUUAUACACGUUCCUGUAACUAUGAGAUUACGCAACUCCCGUUUGCCGGAGGAACACUUUGGGUGCUACCAAACAUCACAACGUAACUGGGUGAUUAUAAAGGAGUACUACAGGUGUGUCCAAAGGUACAUGUUGGGUUGGCGUAUUUCGAGAUUAGGUUUUGUCACUCCGAUUGCCGGAGAGGUAUCUCUGGGCCCUCUCGGUAAUGCACAUCACUUAAGCCUUGCAAGCAUUGUAACUAAUGAGUUAGUUGCAAGAUGAUGUAUUACGAAACGAGUAAAGAGACUUGCCGGUAACGAGAUUGAACUAGGUAUUGAGAUACCGACUAUCAAAUCUCGGGCAAGUAACAUACCGAUGACAAAGGGAACAACGUAUGUUGUUAUGCGGUUUGACCGAUAAAGAUCUUCGUAGAAUAUGUGGGAGCCAAUAUGGGCAUCUAGGUCCCGCUAUUGGUUAUUGACCGGAAACGUGUUUCGGUCAUGUCUACAUAGUUCUCGAACCCGUAGGGUCCGCACGCUUAAGGUUUCGAUGACAGUUUUAUUAUGAGUUUAUGAGUUUUGAUGUACCAAAGGAGUUCGGAGUCCCGGAUGAGAUCGGGGACAUGACGAGGAGUCUCGAAAUGGUCGAGACGUAAAGAUCGAUAUAUUGGACGACUAUAUUCGGAGUUCGGAAAGGUUCCGAGUGAUUCGGGUAUUUUUUGGAGUACCGGAGAGUUACGGGAAUUCGUAUUGGGCCUCAAUGAGCCAUACGGGAAAGGAGAGGAAGGGCCAAAAGGGUGGCCGCACCCCUCCCCUUGGACUAGUCCGAAUUGGACUAGGGAGGGGGGGCGCCCCCUUCCUUCCUUCUCCUUCUCUCUUCCCUUUCUUUCUCUCCUACUCCUACUACAUGGAAGGGUUCCUAGUUCUACUAGGAAAGGGGGAAUCCUACUCCCGGUGAGCGUAGGACUCCCCUAGGGCGCGCCAUAGAGAGGGCCGGCCCUCCUCCUCCUCCGCUCCUUUAUAUACGGGGGCAGGGGGCACCCCAUGACACACAAGUUGAUCUACGGAUCGUUCCUUAGCCGUGUGCGGUGCCUCCCUCCACCAUAUUCCACCUCGGUCAUAUCGUCGCGGAGUUUAGGCGAAGCCCUGCGCCGGUAGAACAUCAUCACUGUCACCACGCCGUCGUGCUGAUGGAACUCAUCCCCGACGCUUUGCUGGAUUGAAGCCCGGGGAACGUCAUCGAGCUGAACGUGUGCUGAACUCGGAGGUGCCGUACGUUCGGUGCUUGGAUCGAUCGGAUCGUGAAGACGUACGACUACAUCAACCGCGUUGUCAUAACGCUUCCGCAUACGGUCUACGAGGGUACGUGGACAUCACUCUCCCCUCUCGUUGCUAUGCCAUCACCAUGAUCUUGCGUGUGGGUUGGAAAUUUUUUGAAAUUACUACGUUCCCCAACAGUGGCAUCCGAGCCUAGGUUUUAUGCGUUGAUGUUAUAUGCACGAGUAGAACACAAGUGAGUUGUGGGCGAUACAAGUCAUACUGCUUACCAGCAUGUCAUACUUUGGUUCAGCGGUAUUGUUGGAUGAAGCGGCCCGGACCGAAAUUACGCGUACGCUUACGCGAGACUGGUUUUACUGCCGUGCUUUGCACACAGGUGACUAGCGGGUGUCUGUUUCUCCAACUUUAGUUGAACCGAGUGUGGAUACUCUCGGUCCUUGCGAAGGUUAAAACAGCACUAACUUGACGAGCUAUCAUUGUGGUUUUGAUGCGUAGGUAAGAACGGUUCUUGCUCAGCCCGUAGCAGCCACGUAAAACUUGCAACAACAAAGUAGAAGAUGUCUAACUUGUUUUUGCAGGGCAUGUUGUGAUGUGAUAUGGUCAAGACGUGAUGCUAUAUUUUAUUGUAUGAGAUGAUCAUGUUCUAUAACCGAAGUUAUCGGCAACUGGCAGGAGCCAAACGGUUGUCGCUUUAUUGUAUGAAAUGCAAACGCCCUGUAAUUGCUUUACUUUAUCACUAAGCGGUAGCGAUAGUCGUAGAAGCAAUAGGUGGCGUAAACGACAACGAUGCUACGAUGGAGAUCAAGGUGUCGCACCGGUGACGAUGGUGAUCAGACGGUGCUUCGGAGAUGGAGAUCACAAGCACAAGAUGAUGAUGGCCAUAUCAUAUCACUUAUAUUGAUUGCAUGUGAUGUUUAUCCUUUAUGCAUCUUAUCUUGCUUUGAUUGACGGUAGCAUUUUAAGAUGAUCUCUCACUAAUUAUCAAGAAGUGUUCUCCCUAAGUAUGCACCGUUGCGAAAGUUCUUCGUGUUGAGACACCACGUGAAGAUCGGGUGUGAUAGGCUCUACGAUCAAAUACAACGGGUGCAAAACAGUUGCACACGCGGAAUACUCAGGUUAAACUUGACGAGCCUAGCAUAUACAGAUAUGGCCUUGGAACACGGAGACCGAAAGGUCGAGCGUGAAUCAUAUAGUAGAUAUGAUCAACAUAGUGAUGUUCACCAUUGAAAACUACUCCAUCUCACGUGAUGAUCAGACAUGGUUUAGUUGAUUUGGAUCACGUGAUCACUUAGAUGACUAGAGAGAUAUCUGUCUAAGUGGGAGUUCUUAAGUAAUAUGAUUAAUUGAACUUAAAUUUAUCAUGAACUUAGUUCUGGUAGUAUUUUGCAAAUUAUGUCGUAGAUUAAUAGCUCGCGUUGUUGCUUUCAUAUGUUUAUUUUGAUAUGUUCCUAGAGAAAAUUGUGUUGAAAAAUGUUAGUAGCAAUGAUGCGGAUUGGAUCCGUGAUCUGAGGUUUAUCCUCAUUGCUGCAUAGAAGUAUUAUGUCCUUAAUGCACCGCUAGGUGACAGACCUAUUGCAGGAGCAGAUGCAGACGUUAUGAACGUCUGGCUAGCUCAAUAUGAUGACUACUUGAUAGUUUAGUGCACCAUGCUUAACGGCUUAGAAUCGGGACUUCAAAGACGUUUUGAACGUCAUGGACCAUAUAAGAUGUUCCAGAUAUUGAAGUUAAUAUUUCAAGAAAAUACCCGAGUUGAGAGAUAUGAAGUCUCCAACAAGUUCUAUAGCUAAAAGAUGGAGGAGAAUCACUCAACUAGUGAGCAUGUGCUCAGAUUGUCUGGGUACUUCAAUCGCUUGAAUCAAGUGGGAGUUAAUCUUCCAGAUAAGAUAGUGAUUGACAGAAUUCUCUAGUCACCAUCACUAAGUUACUAGAACUUCGUGAUGAACUAUAGUAUGCAAGGGAUGAAAAAAAACGAUUCCCGAGCUCUUCGUGAUGUUGAAAUCGACGAAGGUAGAAAUUAAGAAAGAACAUCAAGUGUUGAUGAUUGACAAGACCGCUAGUUUCAAGAGAAGGCCAAAGGGAAAUAAAGGGAACUUCAAGUGGAAAGACAAGCAAGUUGUCACUCCUGCGAAGAAGCCCAAAGCUGGACCAUAGCCUGAAACUGAGUGCUUACACUGCAAAGUAAAUAGUCACUGGAAGCGGAAAUGCCCUGAAUAUUUGAUAGAUAAGAAGGAUGGCAAAGUGAACAAGGGUAUAUUUGAUAUACGGGUUAUUAAUGUGUGCCUUGCUAGUGUUUAUAGUAGCCACUGAGUAUUUGAUACUUGUUCGGUUGCUAAGAUUAGUAACUCGAAACAGGAGUUCCAGAAUAAACAGAGACUAGUUGAAGGGGAAGUGACGAUGAGUGUUGGAAGUAGUACCAAGAUUGAUAUGAUCAUCAUCGCACAAUCCCUAUACUUUCGGGAUUAGUAAACCUAAAUAAAUGUUAUUUGGCGUUUGCGUUGAGCAUGAAUAUGAUUUGAUCAUGUUUAUAGCAAUACGGUUAUUCAUUUAAAAUCAGAGAAUAAUUGCUGUUCUGUUUACAUGAAUAAAACCAUCAAUGGUCAUACACCCAAUGAAAAUAGUUUGUUGGAUCUCGAUCGUGAUGAUGCACAUAUUCAUAAUAUUGAUGCCAAAAGAUGCAAAGUUAAUAAUGAUGGUGCAACUUAUUUGUGGCACUACCGUUUGGGUCAUAUCGGUGUAAAGCGCAUGAAGAAACUCCAUAAAGAUGGACUUUUGGAAUCACUUGGUUAUGAAUCAUUUGAUGCUUGCAAACCAUGCCUUUUGGGCAAGAUGACUAAAACUCCGUUCUCCAGAACAAUGGAACGAGCUACUAACUUGUUGGAAAUAAUACAUACCGAUGUAUGCGAUCCAAUGAGUAUUGAUGCUCGUGGCACGUAUCGUUAUUUUCUGACCUUCACAAGAUGAUUUGAGCAGAUAUGGGUAUAUCUACUUGAUGAAACAUAAGUCUGAAAUAGUUGAAAGGUUCAAAGAAUUUCAGAGUGAAGUGGAAAAAUCAUCGUAACUAGAAAAUAAAGUUUCUGCGAUCUGAUCGCGGAGACGAAUAUUUGAGUUACGAGUUUGGUCUUCAAUUAAAACAAUGUGAAAUAGUUUCACAACUCACGCCACCUGGAACACCACAAUGUUAUGGUGUGUCCGAAUGUCGUAACCGCACUUUAUUGGAUAUGGUGCGAUCUAUGAUGUCUCUUACUGAUUUACCACCAUCAUUUUGGGGUUAUGCAUUAGAGACUGCUGCAUUCACGUUAAAAGGGCACCAUCUAAAUCCGUUGAUACGACACCAUAUGAACUGUGGUUUAGCAGUAAACCUAAGCUUACGUUUCUUAAAUUUUGGGGUUGUGAUGCUUAUUUGAAAAAGUUUCAACCUGAUAAGCUCGAACCCAAAUCGGAGAAGUGCGUCUUCAUAGAAUACCCAAAGGAAACUAUUGGGUACACCUUCUAUCACAGAUCCGAAGGCAAGUUAUUCGUUGCUAAGAUGGAUCCUUUCUAGAGAAGAAGUUUCUCUCGAAAGAAGUGAGUGGGAGGAAAGUAGAACUUGAUGAGGUAAUUGUACCUUCUCCCUUAUUGGAAAGUAGUUCAUCACAGAAAUCAGUUCCAGUGAUUCCUACACCAAUUAGUGAGGAAGUUAAUGAUGAUGAUCAUGAAACUUCAGAUCAAGUUGCUACCAAACCUCGUAGGUCUUCCAGAUUAAGAUCCGCACCAGAGUGGUACGGUAAUCAUGUUCUGGAAGUCAUGUUACUAGACAAUGAUGAACCUACAAACUAUGAGGAAGCGAUGAUGAGCCCAGAUUCCACGAAAUGGCUUGAGGCCAUAAAAUUUGAGAUAUGAUCCAUGUAUGAGAACAAAGUAUGGACUUGGAUUAACUUGCUCGAUGAUCAGCAAGCCAUGUUAAAUAAAUGGAUUUUCAAGAAGAAGACAAACACUGAUAGUAGUGUUACUAUCUACUAAGCUCGACUUGUUGCGAAAGGUUUUCAACAAGUUUAAGGUGUUGAAUACGAUGAGUUUUUCUCACUCGUAUCGAAGCUUAAGUUUGUUUGAAUCAUGUUAGCAAUUGCCAGAUUUUAUGAAAUCUGGCAAAUGGAUGUCAAAACUGCAUUCCUUAAUGGAUUUAUUAAAGAAGAGUUGUAUAUGAUGCAACCAGAAAGUUUUUGUCAAUCCUAAAGAUGCUAACAAAGUGUGCAAGCUCCAGCAAUCCAUCAAUGGACGGGUGCAAGCAUCUCGGAGUUGGAAUAUACGCUUUGAUGAGUUGAUCAAAGCAUAUGGUUUUAUACAGACUUUUGGAAAGGCCUAUAUUUACAAGAAAGUGAGUGGGAGCACUACAGCAUUUCUGAUAAGUAUAUGUGAAUGACAUAUUGUUGAUCGGAAAUAAUGUAGAAUUAUUCUGCAAAGCAUAAAGGAGUGUUUUAAAGGAGUUCUUUAAAAGAAAGACCUCUGUAAAAGCUACUUACAUAUUGAGCAUCAAGAUCUAUUGAGAUAGAUCAAGACGCUUGAUAAGAUUUUCAAUGAGUACAUACCUUGGCAAGGUUUUGAAAUAGUUCAAGAUGGAACAGUCCAAGAAAGAUUUCUUGCCUGUGUUGCAAAGGUGUGAAAUUGAGUAAGACUCAAAUCCCGACCACGGCAGAAAAUAGAAAAGAGAAUGAAAGUCAUUCCCUAUGCCUCAGUCAUAGGUUCUAUAAAGUAUGCUAUGUUAUGUACCAGACCUAUUGUAUACCUUGCUCUGAAUUUGACAAGGGAGUACAAUAGUGAUCUAGGAGUAGAUCACUGGACAUUGGUCAAGAAUAUCCUUAGUGAGGACUAAGGAAAUAUUUCUCGAUUAUGGAGGUGAUAAAAGAGCCUGUCGUAAAGAGUUACAUCGGUGCAAGCUUUCACACCGAUCCAGAUGACUCUAAGUCUCAAUCUGGAUACAUACUGAAAGUGGGAGCAAUUAGCUAGAGUAGCUCCGUGCAGAGCAUUGUAGACAUAGAAUAUUUGCAAAAUACAUGCGGCUCUAAAUGUGACAGAAUCGUUGACUAAGCUUCUCUCACGAGCAAAACAUGAUCAUACCUUUGUACUCUUUGGGUGUUAAUCACAUAGCAAUGUGAACUAGAUUAUUGACUCUAGUAAACCCUUUGGGUGUUGGUCACAUGAAGAUGUGAACUAUGGGUGUUAAUCAUAUACAGAUAUGAAUAUUGAUGUUAAAUCACAUGGCGAUGUGAACUAGAUUAUUGACUCUAGUGCAAGUGGGAGACUGAAGGAAAUAUGCCCUAGAGGCAAUAAUAAAGUUAUUAUUUAUUUCCUUAUUUCAUGAUAAAUGUUUAUUAUUCAUGCUAGAAUUGUAUUAACCGGAAAUAUAAUACAUGUGUGAAUACAUAGACAAACAUAGUGUCACUAGUAUGCCUCUACUUGACUAGCUCGUGAAUCAAAGAUGGUUAAGUUUCCUAGCCAUAGACAUGAGUUGUCAUUUGAUUAACGGGAUCACAUCAUUAGGAGAAUGAUGUGAUUGACAUGACCCAUUCCGUUAGCCUAGCACUUGAUUGUUUAGUAUGUUGCUAUUGCUUUCUUCAUGACUUAUACAUGUUCCUGUAACUAUGAGAUUACGCAACUCCCGUUUGCCGGAGGAACACUUUGGGUGCUACCAAACGUCACAACGUAACUGGGUGAUUAUAAAGGAGUACUACAUGUGUCUCCAAAGGUACAUGUUGGGUUGGCGUAUUUCGAGAUUAGGUUUUGUCACUCCGAUUGUCGGAGAGGUAUCUCUGGGCCCUCUCGGUAAUGCACAUCACUUAAGCCUUGCAAGCAUUGUAACUAAUGAGUUAGUUGCAAGAUGAUGUAUUACGAAACGAGUAAAGAGACUUGCCGGUAACGAGAUUGAACUAGGUAUUGAGAUACCGACGAUCAAAUCUUGGGCAAGUAACAUACCGAUGACAAAGGGAACAACGUAUGUUGUUAUGCGGUUUGACCGAUAAAGAUCUUCGUAGAAUAUGUGGGAGCCAAUAUGGGCAUCCAGGUCCCGCUAUUGGUUAUUGACCGGAAACGUGUUUCGGUCAUGUCUACAUAGUUCUCGAACCCGUAGGGUCCGCACGCUUAAGGUUUCGAUGACAAUUUUAUUAUGAGUUUAUGAGUUUUGAUGUACCAAAGGAGUUCGGAGUCCCGGAUGAGAUCGGGGACAUGACGAGGAGUCUCGAAAUGGUCGAGACGUAAAGAUCGAUAUAUUGGACGACUAUAUUUGGAGUUUGGAAAGGUUCCGAGUGAUUCGGGUAUUUUUUGGAGUACCGAAGAGUUACAGGAAUUCGUAUUGGGCCUCAAUGGGCCAUACGGGAAAGGAGAGAAAGGGCCAAAAGGGUGGCCGCAUCCCUCCCCUUGGACUAGUCCGAAUUGGACUAGGGAGGGGGGCGCCCCCUUCCUUCCUUCUCCUUCUCUCUUCCCUUUCCUUCUCUCCUACUCCUACUACAUGGAAGGGUUCCUAGUUCUACUAGGAAAGGGGGAAUCCUACUCCCGGUGGGAGAAGGACUCCCCUAGGGCGCGCCAUAGAGAGGGCCGGCCCUCCCCCUCCUCCACUCCUUUAUAUACGGGGGCAGGGGGCACCCCAUGACACACAAGUUGAUCUAUGGAUCGUUCCUUAGCCGUGUGCGGUGCCCCUCUCCACCAUAUUCCACCUCGGUCAUAUCGUCGCGGAGUUUAGGCGAAGCCCUGCGCCGGUAGAACAUCAUCACCAUCACCACGCCGUCGUGCUGACGGAACUCAUCCCCGACGCUUUGCUGGAUUGAAGCCCGGGGAACGUCAUCGAGCUGAACGUGUGCUGAACUCGGAGGUGCCGUACGUUCGGUGCUUGGAUCGGUCGGAUCGUGAAAACGUACGACUACAUCAACCGCGUUGUCAUAACGCUUCCGCAUACGGUCUAUGAGGGUACGUGGACAUCACUCUCCCCUCUCGUUGCUAUGCCAUCACCAUGAUCUUGCGUGUGCGUAGGAUUUUUUUUGAAAUUACUAUGUUCCCCAACAGAAAAGGCAUGGGUUUCUGAACCCAUGGUUCUCUUUCUUUACUGUGCUUCCUAGCAACAAAGUCUCUUUUAUCAUAUCAUUGAUUCUUUGAUUGUGGGUUAUCAAGAUCAACAACAGGUUCAAUCUCCACAUCAAUAUUAUUGCUAGGUUGAGCAUCAACAUGAACAUUAUCAUUAACAUUAUCACUAGGUUCAUGUUCAUCACCUGAUUGUGUUUCAGCAUCAGAAAUAGAAUUAUCAUUAGGAUUCUCAGGUGUGUCUACAACAGGUUCACUAGAAGCAUGCAAAGUCCUAUCAUUUUUCUUUUUCUUCUUUUUAGAAGGACUAGGUGCAUCUACAUUAUUUCUCUGAGAAUCUUGCUCAAUUCUCUUAGGGUGGCCUUCAGGAUACAAAGGUUCCUGAGUCAUUCUACCAGUUCUAGUAGCCACUCUAACGGCAAAGUCAUGUUUACUAUUUAAUUCAUCGAGCAAAUCACUUUGAGCUUUAAGUACUUGUUCAGCUUGAGUGGUAACCAUAGAAGCAUAUUUACUAAUGAGUUUAAGUUCACCUUUAACUCUAGCCAUAUAAUGACUCAAGCAUCCUAUCAUGAAAGCAUUACUCUUUAAUUCUCUACCAACAUAAGCAUUAAAACUUUCUUGUCUAGCCAUAAAGUCAUCAAAUUUAUCUAAACAUUGGCUAGGAAAUUUAAUAGACGGGAUUUUAACUUUAUCAUAUAUAGAGAGAGAAUUUACCUUUACUACCUGUGUCGGGUUAUCAAUACAAUGUGUUUCUUUAAUAGGCGGUAUAUUAAGACCAUGUAUUUCUUCAAUAGGAGGUAAUUUCUUAACAUCUUCAGCUUUAAUACCUUUUUCUUUCAUUGAUUUCUUUGCCUGUUGCAUAUCUUCAGGACUGAGAAAUAGAACACCCCUCUUCUUCGGAGUUGGUUUAGGAGUAGGCACUACAAGAAAUAUGUCAACUAGUGACCUUCUAUCAGUGACCCUGGAAGAAUUGGUCAUAGAUCUAUGACCAUUUCAGACCAAUUGGUCAAAAGCUGUUCGGGGGCUCCAAACCCUAAACCAUUGCGACCAUUUUGGUCAGAAGGUCAUAAUUUCCUUACACGAAAUGGUCACAAAGCAAACAGUGCUAGUCCGCUUCCUUAUUUCUAGUUAUUAAUGACCAAUAUAGAUGGUCAUAGCCUUGUAGAUUGUGGUGGGUUGUGAUGACUAGGCGCCAUCUCAUCAGUUUUGCCUAUGUGUCAUGUCCAUGUGGCAGUUUUUGCCCUAGGUUGUGAAGAAACCUAUAUUUCUGUUAUUCCAAAAAUUCCCAAAAAAUUCUCAUAAAUGUUUUGGACCCUAUCUUCAUCAAAUAUGUCAAAAACAUUCCUUGCCUAGUUCAAAAAUAAUUCGAAAAUAUUCAUUUUCCUAUUCUGUUCAGAGCAGCACUUUGUGAAGGAAGUACCACUUUGGCAUGUCCAAAUGGUAUCCAUUUUCUACAGUGCUUUCCUAUGCCCAAAUAACCAUCCUCCACCAAAUGCCAGCUCAAUCCAUUCAUUAUUUUGAACCCAGCUUCAACAUUCGUAUUUAUGUCCAGUGUGGUACUUUGUAAAGCAAGUACCACCUAGGCUCCUCCUUUUGAGGUGAAAAUUUGUGAAGACAGUCUUCUUAGUAACUGAUCAUCCUCAGCCAAAAUUCACGCCCAUUAGCCAUGUGCAUUUCCCGUACCGCAAAUCAAACACUUGGCUGCUUAUUCAUGUUUGAGCAUCGAUCGGUCUCCUCGUGAGAAUCUUAUGUUGUGAUUUUCUUCCUAGCACCUACCUGGGGAGUGCCCAACCCACUAGACAUGACUAGGCCGCCCAGAACACAUGGCAACGCCACGGUCACGCAGUGACCACGCGGCGGGCGUGCGAGCUUACGUGCUCUAGAGUUGGGGCCCUCGUCCACCGUCCAAACCUCGAUAUCUCGCCAUCAAACCAUGUAUUUCUGAUUAAAUAGAUACUUAUUUACCUAGAAAUGAUUUUUUGAAAAAAUAAAGAGCAAACUAUGAGGCAGCUGCAGUUCAAAUUUGACCCGCUUCCAACUGAAUCGACGGGAAUUUGUCUUUUUCACCAGAGGUGGAUCAAAUAUUUUGACACCCAACCAUUUUGUCAAUUGUGCAUUAAAUAUGGCCUAGUAUUUUAUAAAAUUGAUUAGGUCCAAUUUUGCAACAAAUAUAUGGUAGGUCCUUCACAAAAAAAAACUCAUUUCAGGCACUCAGAAAAUGGAAAAUGGUUUUUUUGUCCAAAUAAAAUGAAAACUUCCUUAGGCAACAUUGUUUGCCAUUCCAAUAUGCACCCUUGUGCACAAUAUGAGAUCAUUUGAACAAACUAUGCCAUGAAUGUGGCCAUAAGAUUGAUCAUUUGGCUUGAAGGCCAUGAAUCUUCACACUUGAUAGCUCAUUUCUGAGAACCCUUUUUUAAAAUAAUUACCCUACUACAAGUUUAUUAUUUUUCCUGGAAAAUUGGUCACAUAUAAUGACACAAUGCGAAGGUUUUCCAAUUUUUUGAUUUUCUUGGAAUUUUUUAUGCCCGUUUCAAAAUGCGGUCAAAACGGCGGGCUUGACCGUUCCUAGCUAGUGGUUGAAUCUUGGAAUUUUUUUGGUGUUUCUAUGAUUAAAUAGAUACUUAUGUACCUAUAAAUGAUUUUUCGAAAAAAUAAAGAGCAAACUAUGAGGCAGCUACAGUUCAAAUUUGACCCGUUUCCAGCUGAAUCGACGACAAUUUGUCUUUUUCACCAGAGCUGGAUCAAAACUUUUUUCACCCAACCAUUUUGUCAAUUGUGCAUUAUAUAUGUCCUAUUAUUUUAUAAAAAUGAUUAGGUCCAUUUUUGCAACAAUUAUUUGAUAGGUCCUUCACAAAAAAACCUCCUUUUGGGCACUCGGAAAAUGAAAAAUGAAUUUUCCGUGCAAAGAAAAUGAAAACUACCUUAGGCAACAUUGUUUGGAAUUCCAAGAUGCACCCUUGUGCACAAUAUUAGAUCAUUUGAACAAACCAUGCCAUGAAUGUGGCCAUAAGAUCGAUCAUUUGGCUUGAAAGCCAUGAAUCGUCACGCAUGAUAGCUCAUUUCUGAGAACACUUUUUUAAAAUAAUUACUAUAUUACAAGUUUAUUAUUUUUCCUGGAAACUUGGUCACAUAUAAUGACACAAUGCGAAGGUUUUCUAAAUUUUUGAUUUUUUUUUAAUUUUCUAUGCCCAUUUCAAAAUGCGGUCAAAACGGCGGGCUUGACCGUUCCUAUCUAGUGGUUGACUCUUGGAAUUUUUUUGGUGUUUCUCCGAUUAAAUAGAUAAUUAUUUACCUAUAAAUGAUUUUUGGAAAAAAUAAAGAGCAAACUAUGAGGCAGCUUCAGUUCAAAUUUGACCCGCUUCCAACUGAAUCAGCGGGAAUUUGUCUUUUUCACCAGAGGUGGAUCAAACUUUUGACACCCAACCAUUUGGUCAAUUGUGCAUUAAAUAUGGCCUAAUAUUUUAUAAAAUUUAUUAGGUCCAAUUUUGCAACAAAUAUAUGGUAUGUCCUUCACAAAAAAAACUCAUUUCAGGCACUCUGAAAAUGGAAAAUGGUUUUUUCGUCCAAAGAAAAUGAAAACUUCCUUAGGCAACAUUGGUUGCCAUUACAAUAUGCACCCUUUUGCACAAUAUUAGAUCAUUUGAACAAACUAUACCAUGAAUGUGGCCAUAAGAUUGAUCAUUUGGCUUGAAAGCCAUUGAUCUCCACACGUGAUAGCUCGUUUUUGAGAACACUUAAUUAAAAUAAUUCCCGUAUUACAAGUUUAUUAUUUUUCCUGGGAACUUGGCCACAUAUAAUGACACAAUGCGAAGGUUUCCCAUUUUUUUGAUUUUUUUGAAUUUUUUUUGCUCGUUUCAAAAUGCGGUCAAAACGGCGGGCUUGACCGUUCCUAUCUAGUGGUUGAAUCUUGGAUUUUUUUUUGGUGUUUCUCUGAUUAAAUAGAUACUUAUGUACCUAGAAAUGAUUUUUGAAAAAAAUAAAUAGCAAACUAUGAGGCAGCUUCAGUUCAAAUUUGACCCGUUUCCAGCUGAAUCGACGAUAAUUUGUCUUUUUCACCAGAGCGGGAUCAAAACUUUUUUCACCCAACCAUUUUGUCAAUUGUGCAUUAUAUAUGUCCUAUUAUUUUAUAAAAAUGAUUAGGUCCAUUUUUGCAACAAUUAUUUGGUAGGUCCUUCACAAAAAAAACCUCCUUUUGGGCACUCGGAAAAUGAAAAAUGAAUUUUCCGUGCAAAGAAAAUGAAAACUACCUUAGGCAACAUUGUUUGGAAUUCCAAGAUGCACCCUUGUGCACAAUAUGAGAUCAUUUGAACAAACCAUGCCAUGAAUGUGGCCAUAAGAUUGAUCAUUUGGCUUGAAAGCCAUGAAUCGUCACGCAUGAUAGCUCAUUUCUGAGAACACUUUUUUAAAAUAAUUACUAUAUUACAAGUUUAUUAUUUUUCCUGGAAACUUGGUCACAUAUAAUGACAUAAUGCGAAGGUUUUCCAAAUUUUUGAAUUUUUUUUGAAUUUUCUAUGCCCGUUUCAAAAUGCGGUCAAAACGGCGGGCUUGACCGUUCCUAUCUAGUGGUUGAAUCUUGGAAUUUUUUUGGUGUUUCUCCGAUUAAAUAGAUACUUAUUUACCUAGAAAUGAUUUUUGGAAAAAAUGAAGAGCAAACUAUGAGGCACCUUCAGUUCAAAUUUGACCCGCUUCCAACUGAAUCAGCGGGAAUUUGUCUUUUUCACCAGAGGUGGAUCAAACUUUUGACACCCAACCAUUUUGUCAAUUGUGCAUUAAAUAUGGCCUAAUAUUUUAUAAAAUUUAUUAGGUCCAAUUUUGCAACAAAUAUAUGGAUGUCCUUCACAAAAAAAACUCAUUUCAGGCACUCUGAAAAUGGAAAAUGGUUUUUUCAUCAAAAGAAAAUGAAAACUUCCUUAGGCAACAUUGGUUGCCAUUCCAAUAUGCACCCUUUUGCACAAUAUUAGAUCAUUUGAACAAACUAUACCAUGAAUGUGGCCAUAAGAUUGAUCAUUUGGCUUGAAAGCCAUUGAUCUCCACACGUGAUAGCUCGUUUUUGAGAACACUUUUUUAAAAUAAUUCCCGUAUUACAAGUUUAUUGUUUUCCCUGGGAACUUGGCCACAUAUCAUGACACAAUGCGAAGGUUUCCCAUUUUUUGAUUUUUUUGAAUUUUUUUUGCUCGUUUCAAAAUGCGGUCAAAACGGCGGGCUUGACCGUUCCUAUCUAGUGGUUGAAUCUUGGAAUUAUUUUGGUGUUUCUCUGAUUAAAUAGAUACUUAUGUACCUAGAAAUGAUUUUUGAAACAAAUAAAUAGCAAACUAUGAGGCAGCUUCAGUUCAAAUUUGACCUGCUUCCAACUAAAUCGGCGGGAAUUUGUCUUUUUCACCAGAGGUGGAUCAAAACUUUUUAUAGCAAACGAUUUGCUCAAUUGUGCAUUAAAUAUGGUCUAGUAUUCUAUAGAAUUGAUUUGGUACAAUUUUGUAGCAAUUAUUUGGGAGGUCCUUCACAAAAAAACCUCCUUUUGGGCAAUCGAAAAAUGGAAAAUGGUUUUUUCGUCCAAAGAAAAUGAAAACUUCCUUAGGCAUUAUUGUUUGACAUUCCAAUAUGCACCCUUGUGCACAAUAUGAGAUCAUUUGAACAAACUAUGCCAUGAAUGUGGCCAUAAGAUUGAUCAUUUGGCUUGAAAGCCAUUGAUCUUCACACGUGAUAGCUCGUUUCUGAGAACACUUUUUUAAAAUAAUUGCCGUAUUACAAGUUUGUUAUUUUUCCUAGGAACUUGGCCACAUAUAAUGACACAAUGCGAAGGUUUUCCAAUUUUCUUUUUUUUUAAUUUUUUAUGCCCAUUUCAAAAUGCGGUCAAAACGGCGGGAAUGACCGUUCCUAGCUAGUGGUCGAAUCUUGGAAAACUUUUGAUGUUUCUAUGAUUAAAUAGAUACUUAUGUACCUAGAAAUGAUUUUUGGAAAAUAUAAAGAGCGAACUAUGAGGGAGCUGCAGUUCAAAUUUGACCCGCUUCCACCUAAAUCGGGGGGAAUUUGUCUUUUUCACCAGAGGUGGAUCAAAACUUUUUACACCCAACCAUUUGGUCAAUUGUGCAUUAAAUAUGGCCUAGUAUUUUAGAAAAAUGAUUUGGUCCAAUUUUGCAAGAAUUAUUUGGUAGGUCCUUCACAAAAAAACCUCAUUUGGGGCACUCAAAAAAUGGAAAAUGAUUUUUUCUUCCAAAGAAAAUGAAAAUUAUCUUAGGCAACAUUGUUUGCCAUUCCAUGUUUGUUAUUUUUCUGAAAGCUAGUUCACAAUUGAUGACACAAUGAGAAGGUUUUUUAUUUUUUUGAAUUUCUGUGAUCAUAAAAUAGUUAACAUCUUAUUUUUAAAUCUGUCGCGACCAAUUUAGUUGGUCAUAAUGUUGUACUGCGUUCUGAUUGGUCCAUGGAGCAGGCACGCGGAUCAUGCACGAAACACCGUUGGAUCCUCCCGGAUCCAACGGCAGCCCUCACCCCUCGCCUCCCCCACCAACCCCACGUGACGCGAAACCCUAGCUCUGUUCUCUCCCGUUUUCCAUCCACCCCCCGCCUCCUUUGUUUCUUUCCCUCCCCCCUCUCUCCCGAUGUAGAUCCCCUCGUCGCCACCACCCACCUCCGCCGCUGUCCACGGCCCGCGCACAACAGAAAGAAGCCCGAGGUCCUCCUCCGAUGCUCCUCUGCCUUCCUCGCCCGUGAGGCUCUCUGCUCCACCUCGACUGACCGGCGUAAGAGAAGCCCUCGUCGGUCGCAGGUCCUCGACUCCACCGUCGCACCACGCAACCCUCGUCGUCUGGAUCCAGCCGCCGUCGCAGCCAUGCCGUUCUCCCACGCGACCCUACUCCUGCAAGAGCACCCUCGCCCUCGUAAGUGACCCACACACCCCUCUCAUCCGAUUCUCGAUUCAUCCAUUGCCUCACGGAUUAGAUCUGACUGACCGGACUCCAAUUCACGUUGCAGGUGGCCACGGUCUCCGCCGUCGGUGUCGCCGUCAUCUGGGGCUCUGUCAAGCUCAAGCAGGCGAGGCGGCCGCAGCGGAUUCGCAGCCGUUCCUGCCUCUUCUCGCUCCUCUGGUGCAAGCACGGCGCCUCCACCAACAUGUACGCCAUCCCCUCUUCCCCCUCCUUCCCCGAUCCCGCCCCCUCUUCCCACCUGCCCAUCCGGUUCAUCUCGCCGCCGGUCCCGCCCCUGGCUGGAUCUGGUGGGGAGGGGUUUGGCAGGCCCUUCCCUUCCGCUUCCCGCCGGAUCGCGGCGCGACAAUCGGGAGGGACCUCGAUCUAGGGUCAGGCCCGGCUGUCAGGUCUAGUAAUGAUCCCUGGCUUUGCAUUUUGGUUGGUUGUUGAGCCUUGUGUGUUUCUCGUGCAGGCCCGAGGAUGAGGAGGACAUGAAGGCGCGCAUCCACUACCGCUCCGCCAUGGUCGACGGUGUGGUCCAAGCGCUGGGCGACGACGUCUAUGUCAUGGUAAAAGAUCGACUCCGCCCUUUCCUACCGCGUCCACCCUAUUUUUUUCUAACAUAAUUUAGUAAUUUCUCCACUCGCACAGACUAGUUAUUGCUAAGGCAUGCCACGCAUAAAAAUGCUCCUGAUAGGAUUUGAAAUGGAUGCACUCUAGAAUGCUCAGAUUGUAUCUUACAAAAUGUCUUCCCAUUUUUGGCAUUAGGUUUUUUCUGAUUAUACAAUGGAUGCUCUGAAUGUUGCUUAAUGUAGAUCUGGUUGGCAAAGUUUGUACUACUUGUUUUCACAUUGUUCUUCACUGUGAACUUAAUUAUUAGGCAGAAAAUGUAUGACAACCAGAUAGUCGAGCUCUUGUAUUUUUUACCAUGCUUCAGUAAUCACUUCCUAUCUUAAUUUGUUAUCUGUUUAUUGCCAUUUAUAAGCUGGGGAUCUAGGUUACAUAUCAACAGUUGUCCAUGGUUUGUGCUAUGUGUGUACUAUGUGUCGAUGUAUUCUUCAUUUUAAGUCCAUUAUUGGGCAAAGACAAAUUUGUGUGUGCCUGGAAAACCUUGAGAUCUGUUUCAUUCUCGAUGCGUCUACUUCUGCGGUCAUUUAUAUGCAUCCAUUAAUUUUGUAUAACCUGUCAACUAAUGGUCUUCACUCUUGUUAUGUAGAUUCCAUUUGACUCUGGUUAUUACCGCUACAGUUUCUUGUUGGAUGAUGUAAGUUCUGAUCCAUUUUACCCAUGUGCAUAUUUGGUUUCUCCUUUCUUCCUAUACAUAAUAGAUGGUUGCCCAACAACUGUUGUGUCCCGCUCAUAUCUGUAAGAUGUUUGGUGAAAUUUUUAACUUAGCCUAGGGUGCAGUCAACUUGCUGAACAACUGACAAGUAUAUUCAUUGUUCUUGCUCUAUACCCCUAUUCUGAUACAUCUGACUUGUAUGACCUAUUUCUGAAAAUUGUAACUUAGCCUAAGGUGCAGUCAACUUGCUGAGCUCUUCCAAUGCUUCAGAUUAUAGCUUGCAUUUCAAGUGUCUGCCAAAUGCUAGCUGUUUGGUUCGAAGUCAUGUUCAAACCUAAAUGUAUAUGGUAGUAAAGCAUAUGCACGAGUUCAGGGCAUAUGCUAAUGCUAACAGUAGGUUUUGCCCAGUGUCCAGUUGUUAUUUACUUGCAAGUUUUUACUAUGCAAGGUUCAAUCAUGCCAUCUUUGCUUGUACUGCAUGUUAAUGUCAUCAAAGAUCGAAAUGUUGUUGACCCUGUUCUUUGAUGCUUAAAUGGUAAAAAUGUCGCAUUUUGCUUGUUCUAACCAUUUUUCUUGAUAACUUGCAGAUGCUGGCUUUCAUUCAUGUUUUGUUGUGAGGUCCAGGAUGAACAAGUUGGGAGAAGCAUUGGAACAAGUUGGAUGAACAAGUUGUGUUACCUGAUGUGAACAUUUUUUUUAUUGUAAACUUGAUGUGAACCAUAUUUUUUUGUAAUAAUGUGUUACCAGGAUGAACCAUCCUUGCUGUGUUACCAGGAUGAACAAGUUUGAUUGUAAUAAUGUGCCAUGUUUGGCUCUUUCUUAUUGUAUUCGUGAUGUGUACCAUAUUUUUCCUGAUUAGUCGUGCUUUGUUUGAAGCAUUUUGUUUUCUCUCUGUUCGGAUUUAAAUAUUGUUAUUUAUUUACUGGAAAAUUGAGAUCUGAAGAAUAUAACAGUGACAACUGGGACCCACUUGUUAGAACCUGACAACUGGGUCCCAUCUCAAUAGUGGGCUCAUCUUUUGGGAAAACUAAAAUAAAAAAGGCCAUGGCCUAGAAAAUAAAAAGGCCGAAUUCUUUGGCCAGGCCCAUGUAGCUAAUAAAAGCACAGGGAAAAAAUAUAGAAAGGCCGAAUUCUUGGGCUAGGACCAUGUAGAAAACCGAAUUGGACCGGGCUGAAUCUUGUGCCACAUCAGCUUGCCAUGCUAGAUGCCUACGUGGCCUUUAGAGGUUGCUAGUGACCAAAACGCCACAGUGGACAUAUUUUGGUCAUAAACGUCUUCGACCAUUCCAGAAGAAAGGUCGCUAUAGUCAGUUUACGACCGCCAGCUUUUGACCUUCUGUUUUUGGUCACAAAAAGGUCGCAAAUGAAAAACCAUGACCUUUCAGUGACCAAUAGUGUGUGGUCACAAGUUGACAUAUUUCUUGUAGUGAGGCUCAGGAGUUGGCUCAAUAGGCUCAGGAAUUGGCUCAGGAAGAGUCCAAUUAUUUUCAUUAGUCAACAUAUUAUUCAAUAACAAUUCAACUUGGUCGACUGUUCUUCCCUUGAAAACACAACCAGCACAACUAUCCAAGUGGUCCCUGGAAGCAUUGGUUAGUCCAUUAUACAAGAUAUCAAGUAUUUCAUUUUUCUUAAGAGGAUGAUCAGGCAAAGCAUUAAGUAACCGGAGAAGCCUCCCCCAAGCUUGUGGGAGACUCUCUUCUUCGAUUUGCACAAAAUUAUAUAUUUCCCUCAAGGCAGCUUGUUUCUUAUGAGCAGGGAAAUAUUUAGCAGAGAAGUAAUAAAUCAUAUCCUGGGGACUACGCACACAACCAGGAUCAAGAGAAUUAAACCAUGUUUUAGCAUCACCAUUUAAUGAGAACGGAAAUAUCUUAAGGUUAUAAUAAUAGAGAGAUUUCUCAUCAUUAGUGAACUGGGUGGCUAUAUCAUUUAACUUAGUAAGAUGUGCCACAACAGUUUCAGAUUCAUUACCAUAAAACGGAUCAGAUUCAACCAAAGUAAUUAUCUCAGGAUCAAUAGAGAAUUCAUAAUCAUUAUCAGUAACAAAGAUAGGUGAAGUAGCAAAAGCAGGGUCAUAUUUCAUUCUAGCAUUCAGAGUUUUCUGUUUAAGUUUAGCUCGUAACUUCUUAAGAUCAGAUCUAUCAUUGCAGGCAAAAAGAUCUCUAGCAGUUUCUUCAUCCAUAACAUAACCCUCAGGAACAACAGACAAUUCAUACCUAGGCGGAGAACCUUCAUCAUCACUAUCAUCAAUAAUUUCAUCUUCAAUAAUUUCAUUCUCUCUAACCCUAGUAAGUUGUUCAUCUAGGAAUUCACCUAAUGGCAAAGUAGUAUACAGCAUAGAAGUAGUUUCAUCAUAAGUAUCAUGCAUAGCAGAAGUGGCAUCAUCAAUAACAUGCGACAUAUCAGAAUUCAUAGCAGUAGCAGGUUUAGUUGUCGCAAGCUUACUCAAAACAGAAGGAGAAUCUAGUGCAGAGCUAGAUGGCAGUUCCUUACCUCCCCUCGUAGUUGAGGGAAAAAUCUUAGUUCUUUUGUCUUUCAAGUUCCUCAUAGUGAUCAGCAGAUAUAAAUCCCAAGUGACACAAAGAAUAGAGCUAUGCUCCCCGGCAACGGCGCCAGAAAAUAGUCUUGAUGACCCACAAGUAUAAGGGAUCACAAUAGUUUUCGAGGGUAGAGUAUUCAACCCAAAUUUAUUGAUUCGACACAAGGGGAGCCAAACAAUAUUCUUGAGUAUUAGCAGUUGAGUUGUCAAUUCAACCACACCUGGAUAACUUAGUAUCUGCAGCAAAGUAUUUAGUAGCAAAGUAGUAUGAUAGUAAUGGUAACAGUGGCAAAAGUAACGAUAGCGGUUUUGUAGUAAUUGUAACAGUAGCAACGGAAAAGUAAAUAAGCAAAGCACAAUAGGUGAAAAGCUCGUAGGCAUUGGAUCAAUGAUGGAUAAUUAUGUCUUAUGUGAUUCCUCAUGUAAUAGUUAUAACCUAGGGUGACACUCAUCAAUGUAAUGUAGGCAUGUAUUCUGAAUAUAGUCAUACGUGCUUAUGGAAAAGAACUUGCAUGACAUCUUUUGUCCUACCCUCCUGUGGCAGCGGGGUCCUAUUAGAAACUAAGGGAUAUUAAGGCCUCCUUUUAAUAGAGUAUCAGACCAAAGCAUUAGCACUUAGUGAAUACAUUAACUCCUCAAACUACAGUCAUCACCGAGAAGUAUCCCGAUUAUUGUCACUUCGGGGUUGUCGGAUCAUAACACAUAAUAGGUGACUAUAGACUUGCAAGAUAGGAUCAAGAACUCACAUAUAUUCAUGAAAACAUAAUAGGUUCAGAUCUGAAAUCAUGGCACUCGGGCCCUAGUGACAAGCAUUAAGCAUAGCAAAGUCAUAGCAACAUCAAUCUCAGAACAUAGUGGAUACUAGGGAUCAAAUCCUAACAAAACUAACUUGAUUACAUGGUAAAUCUCAUCCAACCCAUCACCGUCCAGCAAGCCUACGAUGGAAUUACUCACGCACGGCGGUGAGCAUCAUGAAAUUGGUGAUGGAGGAUGGUUGAUGAUGACGACGGCGANNNNNNNNNNNNNNNNNNNNNNNNNNNNNNNNNNNNNNNNNNNNNNNNNNNNNNNNNNNNNNNNNNNNNNNNNNNNNNNNNNNNNNNNNNNNNNNNNNNNNNNNNNNNNNNNNNNNNNNNNNNNNNNNNNNNNNNNNNNNNNNNNNNNNNNNNNNNNNNNNNNNNNNNNNNNNNNNNNNNNNNNNNNNNNNNNNNCCCGAGAGUGAUUAGGGCUUGGCGGUGGCUCUGUAUCGUAAAACGCGAUGAAACUUUCUAUCUGAUUAUUUUCUCCGUGAAACGGAAUAUAUAGAGUUGGAGUUGAGGUCGGUGGAGCUCCAGGGGGCCCAUGAGACAGGGGGCGCGCCAAGGGGGAGGAGGCACGCCCCCCACCCUCGUGGACAGGGUGUGGGCCCCCUGGCCUUGAUUCUUUCACCAGUAUUUUUAUAUUUUCCAAAAGUUAUCUCCGUGGAUUUUCAGGUCAUUCCAAGAACUUCUAUUUUUUGCACAAUAAACAACGCCAUGGCAGUCGUGCUGAAAACAGCGUCAGUCUGGGUUAGUUUCAUUCAAAUCAUGCAAGUUAGAGUCCAAAACAAGGGCAAAAGUGUUUGGAAAAGUAGAUACAUUAGAGACGUAUCACUCUUCUUCUAGGGAUGGUUCUACGCCGGCCAGGGUCCCUUGUGGGGCCUAUCCGGUGAUCGUGGGGGUGCCAGCCCCCAGCCCCCUGCUGAGAGGGGGCGAACAGCUUCAGGGCCUGCCACCAACGCCGGCAGCGGAGGACGACAUUGACGAUGUGCUCAAGCGGGUGCGGGAGCGCAACAUCGAUCGCCAAAAGUUCCUCCGGAAGGCGAUGGAUGCGACGGGCCAGCUUGGUGGGGAGCUCGCGGACAUGGACGCGCGUCUUGAAGCUGAAGGCAUGCGGCUGGUUGAGGAGCAGCGCAAGCUGAAGGUGGCAGUCAACCUUGCGCGCCAUUAGCGGGAGCUUGACAACACGAAGGCCGAAGCAUCCCAUACAGCCUCGCAGAAGGCCUGCUCUCGAGCUAUUGAGGAGGCUCGGGAAGCAGACCAACAGCGUGAGGUAACGGAGAAGCGCGCGUGGGAGCUCCAAGCCUAGAGCGCUUCCCUGGAGCAGCAGGUGGAGCUGCAUCAGGCCACCCUUGCAUCAUUGAAGGGGACGCUUGUCGAGGAGGAGGAGCUCUGGAGGCGCGAGGAAGUGCAGACGCUGGAGGCCGCUGAGUGUAAUCUUGACCUUGAGCGGUUGGAGACGAGGGAGCGCCAGGUUACCCAGGCGGAGGAUGAGGUUGGCGCACGCGAAGCUCAGAUCCAGGAGGAGGUCGACCGCCGUGUGGCGGAAGCUCGCGCAAAUCUUGAUCGCAGGUUCAGCCAGAGGCUGGAGCUGAUUGAAGUCGAGGCUGUGGGCAGGACGGCCGCCCUCAGGUCCAAGCUGACUGAGUUGGGGCAAUGCGCGGAGGCCGCCUCGGCUGCCCUGGUCUCGGCGCAGACUGAGUUGGCCUCCACCCGUGCCGAGCUGCUUCUUCUUCAAAGGCAGGUUGACGACGCUGAGUCCGUUGCGCGGCAGAACAAGGAAGAAAUUCUCCAGCGGUAGACGCUGGAGCACAUGCAUGGCCCCAUGCUCCAAAGGCUCAGGGAUAGGGCCAACACGACCCUAGGCAACAUCUGCGAUGUGAAUGCUCCGCAUCCACCCGUGACCAACUAUGUCGUCCAUCUCUAGUUCUUCACUAACGUAGUGACGCAUCUGGAGAAUCGCUCCGAAAGAGCUUGCCAGCUUAUCGAAUAGAGGAACCGCAUCCUGCUCGGGCGUGCAUUCUCCCUCGUCUUCAGCCAUCUUCAGGACAGGGACCCCCACUUCAACUUCGACGCCGCCAUUGCUCCAAUGCCCAUGGCCAUUCGAGGUGACCUGGCGCGGUGGGUGGAGGACAACAUGGAUGCACUUGUUAGGGCCUUCGCUUCUGAUGAUGACGGGGUGAUAGUUGGAUGGAGGCGACGUGGUCAAUGACGGCGAAGGCGGCGCCGUUAACAGCGACGGCGACGUCAGUGACAGUGACAGCGGCGCCUGUGAUGCCUCUGGAAGCGAGCAAGAAGAUGCGUUGAGCGAUAUGUCUGAGUGAUCCUGCGUCCCCCUGCUAUUUAUCCUGCACACAAAAAGCUCGGGCAUGGCCCUGAAGAUUGUAAGAGCAUUUAGGGAGGGGAAGCCCCACAUGUAAAAGGAUUGAUGUCCGCACACUUUCUUGGAAUGACGCUGAAUGUGCGCCUGCAUGAUGUUACUGGUCCAGCGAUGAGCUAGUUGUCAUGGUUUACCUUUAGCCCGGAUAAGCCUUGAGUAGGCUUGCGAGGCCGUGAUCCUCCGAGGGUCCUCUCGGGGACCCGUUGACCAUGUGGCGAGAGCCUCGCGAGAGCGAGUGCUAGCCGUGGGACGGCAUGCGCGUGUGCGCUUGGCCCAGCCCCGCCCACGAGAGGCUCGUGAGGUGAGGGGGCAGUUGGUGCGAACUCCGGACUAGGGCAGAAACCAGAACACGAAAGGACACAUGAACGAGACAAGACACCCCUUCCCGCAUACGCAAACACAAAUUCAAUUUCAACUUAAAUCCAAAGCAAGGAAGCUCGACCACAGAAAGGGGGGCAAAAAGCAAAAGGCCGCGUGCGGCACCUAGUCUAGUCUUCAACGUCUUCUCACCAGUGCGGAGCUAAGUGCUGCCACUGGGCGUGGGAGGGAGCCCCCGAGGCCCGAGGACGGCUCUCCGGAGACUCCGAGGCAUGUACAACCCCUUCUCAUUAUUACGUGAGAGUGUCACGGGCGGCGAGCUUCACAGGCACUGGGCCUUCUUCACAGGUACCGGCCUUGCUUCAUAUCGCCAGGCGAGGGGCCCGCCUUGCGCCACCCUCGACCACCAUCGACGGCGACCGGAAACCAAGGACGACACCAAUGGGGUAAAGGGGACGCCAACGGUUCCCCCGACGACCACGGGUCCUCUGCCGGGGGCAGGCUUUACAGCACCUCCCCGGCAGAGGUCCUACCUCCGAGAAACGCCUUGCUCCAUGCGCCGCGGGGAGGGGCCUGGCUCCCGGCCCCUCUCCUGUAGCCCCCAGUGCGCUCCUCCCGGUGGAAGGGAGGCUGCCAAGCUGGGGCAGCCUUCCGCCGCAGAAACCUGAACUCCCUGCGACCCAUGGUUAGCAUAAGCUUGCUCCUGAGGAAUUAGCGGUACCCGAUAGCUGCUGCCGCCAGCGCGGUCGGUGAGGCUUCCUUGAGGCUCCUGAAAAGGCCCGGCUUCUGGCGUAUUCCCGAUCUACCAUGUGGGGGUACGUAAGCCUCCGAGGUCGCCGCCUCGAAGGCUUCGUUGUAGUGCCCCGCACUCCAGCGGCUUGGCUCGAAGCGUCGUCUCGGGGGUGAUAGGGCGGCGGCCCGCCUGGGUCGUAGGCGGUGAUGCGCAUGCCCUCGCUCACCCGAUGUGGUGUUGGUGCAACUUGACGCCCUGCGCUAAUGGUUGAGCUGGUGUUGAUGAAGCCUUGGGGCACACCUGAGGGCGCACGGGCGCGGAUGGGCCCGACGUAUGAUCCGCCCGGGGCCUGGGGUGGAAGCUGGACGCAGAAAAGAGGCGCCCCUGAAGCUGCGGUAUCCAGGAGCUCGGCGACGCGCUCCAACAGCACAUCAUGGUCGCCCUCCUGCAUCCUGCACCCUAGCAGCUCCCGAGCCACCGUGAGCAUGGCCCUCAUGUUCGCUUGUUCCCGUCGGGUGUGCGGCGCCGUGGCUGCGGCGUGGUUUGAGGCCCUUGCUGCUGAUCGCACCUGCCGUGGAGUGAGGGCAGGCAGCGCUUGACCAUGUCGCCCGCGCCCCACAGCGUUCUGCGGAGCACGGGCUACCUGAGGCACGAGGUUGAGAUCACCUUGGGCAGGCGGCACAGCAUGGGCAGGCCAUGCCGCCCAGCGGUCGGUGUUGGCCGUCUGGUCGCUGGACAUGGAUGCGAUGAAGCAGUGGAACGCAGAUCGGCGGAAAGAGGAUUCUGGUGCACCCCUACCUGGCGUGCCCAAUCUCGGAUAUCGGGUUCCGGCAAAACCCUUAAGGUUCGAACCCUGGGGUGCACACGAAGAUCUUCUCCCUACCGAACUCUCCCACAACCUCGCCGCGAAUCUAAGCUAACACGAUGAACAACACAAGGGACACACGAUUUAUACAGGUUUGGGCCACCGUUGUGGUGUAAUACCCUACUCCUGUGUGUGGUGUGGUGGAUUUCCUCUUGGGCUGAUGAUGAACAGUACAGAGGAAGAACAGCCUCGCGAGGGGUGUUCUUGUGGUGGUGUGCUUGGAGAGGAGUUGAUCUGUCUCUGUUGGCUCUAGAUGAGAUCCAGAUGCCCUCUACUGUGGUGGCUAUCUCUAUUUAUAGAGGGCCUAGUCCUCUUCCCAAAUAUUGAGUGGGAAGGGAGCCAACAACGGCCAUUUUGAAAGGGUACACCUAGUACAAGCUAUCCUGACUAAAGGUGUGUAACAGCCCCAAAAUUGGGUUAUCAAUUUUUGUGUUGUUAUUCCUUCCUGGCACUCAUUUUCAAAAUCUUUCUCCUGAGUUUUGCUGAUGACUCUGAGAUUUCCUGUAAUUUCAAACCUUUCAAAACUUGCUCAUGUCUUUUUCAGUGGGCAAGACCUCAGUUGCAUCAUCUGAAACUCUCUCAAACCCUAAUUCCAAAAUUUUGGAAUUUGAUUGUGCCCUUUGUGAUUACAAAGGAGCUAUCAUUUUCCUUGAUCUGUUGAUCAUCUCAUCUGUUCCUAGAGACCCUCCUAUCCUUUUCAAACUUGGAUAUGCAAAAAUAUUGCCAAGUCCUAUGCAAUAUUUUUGAAUUUUGAUUUAUUCCUUUUCUUGCCUUUCUGAGGAAUAAAAUCCAAAGGCAUAGCUAGAUAUCUCCUAAAUUCAUGUGAAUUGGUGGAGUUGAUAAUUAUGCCUAACCCAAGCUCUAGCAGUCAUAUUGGCCAUAAUUAAAUAAGGAAAAUCGCCUUUUCUUAUUUUAUGCCAAUAUUGUAUUUCUACCAUUUUCUAAAGGAACUACUAUUUUUAUAGCAGGGAAAAUUCUCACAGAAAUUGUGGAGCUUGACCUUGCUAUAUAGUCACUAGUUCCAUCCUCAUCUCAUGUUCAUCAGUUCAAAAAUUGGGCACAUGAUCCAAUGCAAGUUUCUGCCUUCUCUAAAAUUUUGCAAAGGAAGUGCUUUAUUCCUAAUUCCUUCUGAGCUGAAAAUUUUCAGGGUGAUUAAUUUUCAUAAAUAACCCAUGAAUACCAAAGAUGAGAUCAAUCCAAUCAUCAUAGCUCCCUGUGCAAUUUUUCAAAGUUUCUGACCAGAUUGUCACUUUGUGAAGGAAGUACUUUCAUAGAGUUUCCAAAUGGGAUGAAACUUUUCCAUCCUCUCAAGUAUCCCAACUCAUUAUCCUUCACCCAAAUUCAGCUCAUUUCAUUGAUCUAUGUGAUCACAGGAGCAAUUCUUGUUUUCUGUCCAAAUUUUCGGCUUGUGAAGCGAGUAUAUUUUAUCUUGCUUUAUUAUGGCUGAAAAUAAUUCCAAGAGAUUGGCUAAUUUCAUGUGGCCAAUAGUUUCCUAGGAUUUUCUCAAGUUUCUGGUCCAAAGUAAUGCUUGUGAAGAAAGUACCAAUUUGGUGAGUCUAUUUGGUGUGAUAUUUUUACAACAUCUACUUAUGACCAAAUCAUGGGUAUUGCCAAGUUAUAGCUCAAUCUAACACUCACAGUGAGUGCUUCAUCAUGAUCUAGUUUCUGGACAUAUUUUAGCAGUUGUUAAGCAACUAUGCUAAAUAUUUGUCCUAAUGACCUCAAAACCCCCAGGACCGUAGUCCUUGAUACCCUAAGCCUUUCAGACAUUAAGUUUACCAUUUCACCUCUAUGGUUUUAUCUCCAGCAAGUUGCCAAGUUCGCAACAGCAAACUUGUGGAGCUCGUUUUACUCAUAUCCCUUUGUAUCUGCACAAGUGUUUACCAUAGUAACAAUCCAUCUUCGAAGGACUACGUGUUAGACAUGGUUUAACCUCAGUAAAAUCUCCAGAGCGCGCCAUGCCAGUGGUGACCACGCGUGUAGCCAUCCAAAACGGUGGUCUAGCCACUAUUCCCGUCGGUAGCGCUGCUCCAACUCUUCCUGACCUCGCCAUUAAUGUCUAGCAGCUCCGCAUCGUCGUCGCCGUUCGCCUGGAGCCCUCUACCCCUCUGUUUAUUUCUUCUCCGACGAGCCGUGCCAAAGGUCGACAGUGUGCGCCCGUGGCCAUCGUCUUCUUCCUCUCCUCUGUUUUCUUCCUCCUCUCGUUCGCGAGUGCCCCUCGUCUCCGUGAGCCUCUGGCGCUCGUCAGGAUCCCCCUCAUCGACUUCCCACUGCCUCCCGUGAGCUCUGACCGCGACUGCCGACGACUGCGCCGUCGCCGAUGCGCGGACACGUCGCCCGCCGCGUGCCACCUCCUCCUCUCCUCCCUCGAGCUCCUCCGCGGCUAUUUAAGCAGCUCCCGAGCCCCCCUCGCAGUCCCCAAGCCUCCCGUAGCUCUCUCCCCCUCGCCUCGGAGCUCCCCGUCUCCUCCCCAUCGCCAUGGCCGCCGCCUCGGACCUCUCUGGUUCCGGCGACCAGGGCCUCCCCUCGCUGUUCUUCCACCACCAGCGCCUCUCUCAAGGUCCGGCGAGCCUCCCCGUAGCCUCAGCCCCCUCAUCCCCUCGCCGGAGCGCUCGGAUUCCCGGUGAUCCCUCCUCUCUGCUCCGCGCCGAACCCCUCCCUCCGGCCAUCCCCUGCCCUGUCCGAGCUCAUGGAUGGAUGAGCCACACCCCAGAGAACCUCCCCAGCUCGUCGCCCGCCAGUUUCCCUCACCGGAACCCCUUGCCCACCGGAGACCGAAGCCCCCUCCGCCGCGGCCCCUGCUGCUCCCUCUGCAGUGCUCUUCGCUGGCGACAGAGACUACCACGGGAUGCUCCUCUCUCUCCUUAGCACGUGGGUGGGUCGGCGGUCGUCUGCGGUGGCCGGAGCCGCUGGGAAUCACCGUCAGGCCAGCCCCUGCCUCGGCCGGUCGAGCGCCCGAGCUGAAGAAGAAGAAGCGACGGCCAGGUGGGCGUUGACCUGGCUAGGUGGGCCCCUCGCCCCACCUGUAAGUUGCACUGGAGCCCGGCCCCGCCUCUGCCCUUUGACCCAGUCGUCGCCAUGUCAGAUUAGUGGAAGCGCCCCCGCCGAAGACGUUUCCUCCCACCGAACACGAAUUUUAGAAAAGACGCGUUCGGUUUAAAACUACCAGGGACCUGUUUGUAGAAGAAUUUUUACAAAUUAGUCCCUGAGUUUUGAACGUCCGUAUCUUUUUAACCGUAACUCCGUUUGAGGUAAAUCCGACGCCCACGUCUUCGUCUUGUCGAGCCCGUUCCAUUUCCAUCAUUUUCACUAUGGUCUGAAAUAUUGAAAAUGACCACUUUGCCCUUGUCCGUAAACAGCCCCCUCCGAGAGAGAACUGUUUCCGGCAAAUUUUUCCGCGGUCGUUUCUCACUUCUUCCCGGAGUAUUUGUCGACCCCCAGGCAAGCCAACCUCUUAUCAUGAGCCCUGAACUUGCAUGUUGACUUUGCUUGCGCCUUGUGUGUGUGUGUGUAGUUGCAGUUGUUUCUUAUCGUUUUCGUGUGCAGUUAUUUCAUUAUGCUUAUCAUGCAUGCUUGUGUGUUCAUGAUAUAUGUUGCCAUGAUAAUUAGGAUGUUGUUAAUGAUGAUGCCAUGUCACUACUCUAAUUUAUUUUCAUGUCAUCAUUAUAAAAUGCUAUGAUGAUGGUAAUGCACCGUGGAUAUGUUAUUACUUGGUAUUGUCAUGAUGCUGUAAGUGUUCACUUGAGAAACUCGAUGUGUUGUUAAAGCAUUUGUAUGAUGUAUGCUCAUGGUUGCAUUCAUGUUAAAAUGCUGGUAUGAUGAUUGAUGAUGGAGAAGAUAAUAAUAUGACUUAAUAAUAAAACCCCUCCGUCAUCGAUGGGAUCGAGUCAUAGUGCCGCCAAAUCGAACUUUUCCAUUGCAACCACAUUUGCCGGUAUGGGACGGCCUUAAUGCGGUCUAUUGUCGUGCCUCUGGUCGGUGCCUCCAACUAGGGAAGGUUAUGGGCGCACGCUACCCUGAUUAGGUAGGCAGACAUAAGCCCUGUGAGCCCGUUGUUAAGUUAAGUUUUUGGUACCGGAUCCCAGUGUGGAUCGUGGCCACGACGGUGGUCGAGGUGUCUGGAGGUAGACACGGGGCCACCCAGGACUAGCCCAGUGGGGAGUGAGUCGGAGUGGCCAGGAGAGUGUCAUGGCAGUAGAUCGGUUUUGUCGGAACGUCGUUGGUCCACCCGAAUGGGAGUGCGAGGCCAUGGGUUCUGUGGUGUGGGUAUAGUGCACUACCUUUGUAGAGUGUAUUUAAACUAUCGAUAGCCGCGUCCUCGGUCAUGGGCAUAAGUUCGUAGUAGGGUACACUAUCGGGUCUUGGUCGAAAUGGAGGAUAAACCUGAAAUAAUUAAGCUGAGUAAUGUGGUUGUGAUCGCCGUAAGGAUCACGGGCCAGCUGUUGGUCGGGUUGUGAUCGCCGUAAGGAUCACGGGCCAUUUAGUGGUCGGGUUGUGAUUGCCGUAAGGAUCACAAGUUUGUCUCUGUUGGUGAUCAGGAAAUGAGGUGAUUACCGUUGGUAAGAGAGUCCAAGGGACUCAGUGCACAAGUUUGGUUGUAUUGCAUGAGUAAUAUGUUUGCAUUUAAAGAACCAUGGUAGAUCAUGAGAUGGUUGAAUACAGUUAACAUGCUAUGUCUGCAUUUGAUAUGAUUGGUAGUUUAUUUAUGCCAUGCCAUGCUUUGAUUGAUAUGAUUGGGAUGAUAUGCUAUGUUUUGCUGUUGCCAUGUUAGAAGUAAAUUUGCUAUGCCAUGUUGUUGCCAUGCUAGAAGAUGCCAUGAUGUUAGUUUGAUUUAUGUCUUGGGUUGAUAUCAUGCCAUGCUUAGUUCUGAUAUGAGAUAGUUGUUGUAGACGCUUGGUUCUUGCUUUGUCUUCUCCUUGUUUGGAUGCUAUGUAUUUGGUUGUCUUGCAAGUACAUUCAAUGUACUGACCUGGCGUGUCAUGCCAGUUUUGUAGGUCGUACCCGAAUUGUUCGUGUUCCAUCGUGCUAGGCCGUAAUCUUGCCAGUCCUGUGAGUUGUGGAGCCCAGCCUGUCGUGGAAUUGUCACGGCAGAUGUCCUUAGUGUGAGGACUUAGUCGUGAGGGCAAUGCAUCUAUGUGGUAGCUUGAGAGGGGUUGGGCGGAAUCGGGAGACGCAACACAAGACAAGGAUUUAGACAGCUUCAGGCCCCGGGAAACAUCAUCCGGUAAUAACCCUACAUGUUGUUUGUGGCUAGGUCUCAUUAUGAUCAUGAGGGAGUCGCCGGUAAGCCGGCUCUUCGUGUCUAGCCCUAGAGAUUGUUUCUUCUUGCUUGUCCCUCUUUGGGGUGCCCCGCCCCUUCUUAUAUAAGUUAGAGGGGCGGGUUACAUGUGGAGUCCAAAUAGGAUUAGGACUAGCCUAUCUUCUCCUACAAGCCGCAUACAAGUCCGGGUCUUCAUUCCUUGUAAGAAAGAUAUUCCUCACGCCUUUCCUCUUAAGCCGCCCUUCCAUAACGUAAGCCGACCUUCUGGGCCUUGAGCCUCCUUGGCCCCUGGGUCUUGUCGCUCCUCUGGUCCGCUUGCCAGAUCACCCAUAAGUCGCCAGGAUCGGGCGGGUCACUUAGUGUGUUGUCCAGCCAGGGCGGGUCAUUAGUGAGUCGCCAAGUCCGGCCGGGUUAUACUUCCGGCCGGGUUACACCGCGGGGUAUAUCCCCGACAUUAGCCCCCAAGUUUAGCUUGGAUUUAUCCAUGGUAAACUUAUGCUGCAAAAUAAACACAAGAACAAAUUUGACAGGUUGUGCUCCGGGUUAAUAAUUCUUGUAAUCCAGCACCUGAACAUCCUUAAGUCCUUGUCAUUUCCUUCUUCUAGAAAAUCCAUGUCAAUAGACCAGCUUCACAAUCAAUUUGCUUGUAGAUCCAUUUGAGUCGGCUUCUAAAGCGCCGGCUUGAAAAAUAUAGGUCUUGAAAUACUCAUCUGAUUUUCAACCGGCUUAAAGAUGUAGAUCUUGCCGAGUUAUAAUUUCCAAAAUCUCCGGGUUAUCAAAGACUGAUGAUGUCGAGCCAUAAUUGUUGUUGACACCGGGUCAUGUAAUUGAUCUUCCUGAUUUACUUAAAGCUGAGAAUUUGAAGAUGUUCCUUAUUUAUAUGCAUAAUACCUGUAGCCCCCAAGUAUGAAGAGGAGAACAUAGUGAUAACUUAAGACUUGCUUCAAUAUAAGUGUUGCAACCUUGAAGAAAUCCGGGUUAUUCAUCUCAAUCAUUAGUCAUAAACUGAAUAUUCUCUUCCACAUAUGUAGCCCCCAAGUGCCGGGUUGUCAUGCUUGCAGAAACCUGGGACUUGUAAUUGCCUUAUGCUCAUAAAAACUUUAACCAGUGUAGCCCCCAAGGGCCGGGUCAUUAUGCAAUAAUGAGAAGGGACUUUGUAAAUAAUUCAUUAAUAAUAACAUCAUAUGAUGUAAUCUCCACCAUGGGGCUUGAACCCACGUCCAUAAGGUUAAGAGCUUUGUACUUUACCAAUUGAGUAGUGGAUCUCUUAAUGUACUGGACUGAGGCUUGUGUACCUUGAAUUUUUGAUAGGAGCAAUUGGUAGCCCCCAAGGGCCAGCUCAUUUAAAAUGUGAUGAGUCGGGUCUUCAAUAAGUUGAGCAAAAAUUGACUUUGCAUUAGCCCCCAAGUGGCAUGGUGCAUGCUGGCAGUGACAUGGGACUUGUAUAUUCGAUGUAAUCUCAAUUUGAAAAAUGUAACCCUCAAGUGCCGGGUCGUAAGCCUGCAGCGACUCGGGACUAUUCCUUUUAUUGUAGAAUAAAUCAUAUUAAUUGAUAAAAUAAUAGCCAUUGCGCUGAAGCGACUUUGAAAACCUCAAUCAUAACACUGGUUAUUGAUAAUCACAAAUAGAAAUCCAGCCAUGUUGGCUAUUUAAGAUUUGAACAAUAUAAUCCGGUAUGAAAACCUCAAUCAUUCAAUAUCAUCAUGAAAAUCCAGCCAGUUUGGGCUAUUAAAGAUUUGAAUAUCUCAUCGCUUGACAAGUAAAUUCGGAGUUUAAAUACCUGGCGGCUCUUGGCCGAUGCGCAUUCAUUGUAACCCGGUGGCGUAUAGCCUUUGAGAAAAUCAAGAAUUAAUAACCCUUUUGAGACAUCAAUUUCAAUCUUUGAUGAUGGGCUUGAACUUGAUCAUUUAUGUAAGCCAUAACUCUGUAGAUCCUGCACAGAGUUUAAACAACAUAUGCCCUGGUGACUUAAUAUCAAAAGCCAGGGCGGGUAACCACCCAAAUAUAUUCUUAUCCUACACACAAGUAGAUCACAAGAUCCCUAUGAUCCUUUGAAUGAUACCGCCGGUUUAUGUGACCCGGACAAUGAAGUUGAUAACUCAACUCUGUAAGAGCCGGCACAUAUGAUAUUUGUGACAACUCAAAUACUUGCGAUUGUAUAAAAAUAGAUAAAAAAAUUGAGGCUUCUGAUUCGAAUACGAUCAGUAAACCGUUCCAAAGGGGUUAAGCUAAGAUUCGAAUACGAUCAUAUAGCCCCCAGUGGUGUUGACGAUGCCGAGCAAAGUGGGUAUCGACAGCUAUGUUCUCUUUGGUUCGAAUACGACCUAUGUUUGAACAGGAAGCCCCCAAGUGACCUUAAGAGUUGUUUAGCGACGCUGAUUUGAAUACGAUCCACGUCAAUUCCCAAAGGGGUUGAGCUAUGAUUCGGAUACGAUCAAGAAGCCCCCAAGUAGGUUCAGCAGUUUGCUAAUCAAAAGGGUAUCGACAGCUAUGUUCUCUUUGGUUCGAAUACAACCUAUGUUUGAAUAGGAAGCCCCCAAGUGACCAUAUAAGAUAAGUCGUAAGGCAGGAUACCCAUGUUUUGAACCGUGCAUCAUGACAGCAAGUUCUCUUUGGUAACCAUUAAUUUGUCUGAGAUCUCGAACUUGCGAGAGAUUAAUUCUUUUUGAACCGGAAAUUCUUAAACCGGAUAUUGAGAUCCUCAAAGCUUUGUAAGGGACAAAUUUACGUUGAGCCGGAUGUUGAACCGGUUUUGAGAGCUUCAAAGAAUUGCGGGAGAGAGAUGUCUCUUGAGCCGUAUUUUAAACCGGAAUCUUCAUUUUGAGCCGGAAAUUUUUCUGACGGCUUUUAAAUAUUUGCCAAUAAAGCAGUAGCCUCCAGGGCCGGGUUAUCUUCCCUUCAAUGACCCGGAGUUCUUGAAUUCAUUGAAACCGGCUAAUUUUGCCGAGCCAUACCAUUGUAGCCCCCGAGUCUCAAGAUGACACGAAGAGUUGGCUUGAGAUUCUUCAUAUUUGACCAUAGCAGAAGGCGUAUAUCAUUGGCAUUGAUAACGCGAUAUGAAUCCACAGAAGGUUGAGGUGACUGCAGCGGGUUAUAAAUGAUUCUGUAUGAGCCGUGUCAGCAACUCGGCCAAUGGUUCCUUCCAACUGGCUAUUUGAAGUUAACCAAACCGUAGUGGCGGCGACUUGUGCGCCUGCCCAUUGAGCCAUCCAGUGCAGACGGCGGCUGAUAAUACAUUAUAAUUUGCCUCCAAUUUGUUGGAAGAAAACCGGGCUUCCCAAAUAGUGACUUGCUCACACUUAAUAAAUAACUCAUGCAGACAGGUGUGGUCCGAUGUGUUGAUGUAGACUAGGCCACAAGAGACGGACGGGAAAGACGACCGCCACAUCUGAGGCAGCACAGACUGAUGAAUCGACCACGGUGUUGUAAGCCGGUGCGAACGGGCAAGUUGUCCUCCUUGUUGUAAGCCGGUGUGGUCGCGAGAGACGGCCACGUCGUUAUAAGCUGGUGCGGAUGGGGAGAGCAGGCCGCGACAUUGUAAGGCCGACUCUUGCAGUGAACAGUUGUCCUGCAUAAACAAUAUUGCAAACCAAGGCAAAGAUAAACUGUUUUUUGAUAAAAAUAAUAUGUGUUAAUCAAACAAACUUGGAUAAAUAUCACCUGAUUCGCCCGAACAACAGAUGAAUCGGCUGUGGUACUAUAAACCGGUGCAGACGGGCGAGUUAAUCGCAGGCACGGUAAGCCGCGCGACAGUCAAGUCAAUCACGUUGUGUUGAUGUGGCGGAGGCGGCGACUUGCGCACAUAUCCGUUCAGCAGCACGACACGGACAAGCGCUAGUGCAAAAAUAAACUUGGCGCACACCCCUUUGAAACACCUUUAUAAUGUAUAAUUGUCCUGCGCAAAAUAUAUUGCAAGAAAGCAUAAUUGUUCUCGGGAUAAAUUAACAUGUAGAAAAUAGAUAGGAGAGAUAACACCUGGUAGUAUCGUGUAGUGGACGUAGAAGUUCACAGCAAUCAGUACCAGAUCAACCAAUUAGUACUAGUGCUUCUGUAGCAACAGUAGUCUAAACUCCUAAUGUCUCAGUUGGUAGGUCCCGUUCCGGGUUUUAUUUUCGUCCCACCAUUUUCGUCCGGUUUUUUUCGUCCUCAAUCCCACCUCCCACUUCCCCGUACCAAAAAGAAAACCAACCAAAACCAGGUAAAAAGGGAGCGAUGCCUCCAGUCCUCGCACGCCUCGCACUCGCAUGCCUCAAUGAAAAAAGACCAGCGAAAAAAGACCUACGGAAAAAGACCUACGAAAGAAAAAAUAGCGACAAAAAAUCAGGCGACUCGCACGCACGAGCGAGGCCUCCAGAUCCCUUCGCCACCGCCCGCCAGACCCAUCCUCGUCCCUGGCUCCCGGCGCCGCCCACCCCCCAUCUCCUCCUGCGAUCCUGGCAUCGCCUCGCCCCACCUUCUCCCUCACUCCCGGCGCCACCCCGCCCCCACCUUCUCCCUCACCACUGGCGCCGCCCAACCCCCAACCUCCAUGGAUCCUGGCACUGCCCUGUCCCCACCUCCUCCCUCGCUUCUGGCCGCCCAUGCCGCCUAUGCGCGCCCCUCCCUCAGCCCACCGACGACCUCCCAUCCUCCACCGUCUACCCCACCAUCGGAUCUCCUCCUCCCCUCUCCUUCUCUCCCUCGCGAACGCGUCAAACCCACGAAAUUUCCCUCCUCGCGGCCGGAACCCUAGCUCGCGCCUGUGGGUACUGGGCUGGAGGUGUGGCACGGGAUUCGCACCGCAGGAUUCACCAGCGACGAGUCCAACAGGUCGCCGAAUCGGGGAACGGGAUGGCGCACCCUGCUGCAGCCGCCGGUCGGGACGAGCGCGGCGGCGACGAACGUCAGUGCGCCUCCGUUUCCUCGACCUCCAAGGACGCGGGCGCCGGAUUUGUUCUCGCCUGACCAGCCUCGGUAUCCAGCUCCCUACAGCCACCGCCGGCAUCGAGUCCCAAGGUUCGAUCCGCCUCUCGCCUUUCCUCUUUCGAUUCACCCCGUUGAUUUGUGUGCGAUCGAUUUGCGUUUUUCAUGAUUCCAAAUAGCAAGCGCGGAUGACGACGCCGCCAAAGAUGACGAGGCCCCGAGCUCGAGCACGACCACUACGACGCACUACACAAAGGCCCCUGCUUCUUGCCUGCCCUUCCCUUUGCUUGGGUAGCUCCUCCCUCUCCCUCUCCUUCAAAGAACUAAUAUUUAGUUUCAUUGCUUUUAUGUGUGCAAACGUUUUGACCGCCUCCAUAUGGUUGUUUAUGUAGAAGAUAGCUCUCUUCAGAUGUUGUUCCUGUCCUUCUCCUUGGUUGUUGAGCGCUGCACUCACUCAUGUAUGCAGGUUGAGUCCAAGCACAAGUAAGCACCAUUAUGUAUGCUGAAAGACGACUAUGUUCAAUAUUCAUUUUCUAUCCUGGUUUGUCGAUUUGUGUGUGAUUGAUUUGUGUUUUUUCGGAUUUCAAACAGUAGGCGAGAAGACGACGGUGACGCAGAGGAGGACGAGGACCCGCGCUCCAGCCCGACCACGACUAUGCACCGCACGGUCCCUGCUUCCUGGCUGUCGCCAAUUGCCCCCUUCCCUUUACAGUACUACUCUAUUUGUUUUCAUUGCUUUUCACCCAGUUUUGCACACUUUCUGGCCCUUCACUUUUUUGUGUGCAAAUGUUCUGAUCGCCUCCAUAUGGCUGUUUCCGUCCUCCUGCUCAUGCUGUCUCCAUCCUCCUGCUCAAGUAGUCGCGGUCGCCUCCCAUCCUUCAUGGCCUGCGUGUGUGCGCCCACUGUUGGAGGACGACGUUGAACAUGAAGCGGAGCCCAGCCGGAGCAGUCUGACGCGGUGGUCGUGGCCAAGGGGUGGUGGUCGAUGCCAUGGAGCAGGGCCCCUCGGUCGCUUGCACACCGGCUGCGUUCUGGACUAAUGCUUUCUGCAACUGCAAUGUUCCCCUCCACAUUGUAUCUUGUGUAGGCAGAAGGAAUGCAGCUCAGCGACGGCGUCGACUCCAACUGGAUCGAUGGCCUGAAGGCUUUUACUAAGAAGAUGAAGAAUGUUGUAGAAUAGUGUCCAUCAACAAAGAGUCCUACUACUACCGGUUGGAGAGGCUCUAUCCUCAGGUGAUUGAUUACUUAAGAAGUAUACUGAAUUAUGAUAUCCAUCGAUCUAAUUUUGUAUAGGAAUUUUUAAAAACUAAAGAAUCUGUGGUACAUGAUUUAAUUUACUCAUUUAGAUUUUAGUAAAUUGUGAACGGAAGUUUUUUUCACAAAACCAAUGCACCACCCUUUCUACACACAUCAUUCAUGGAUUGGCAGACUAAAGGUUCUAUUCAACAUCUUUGGUGGAUUGCAUAAAUGGGCUAGAGUAAAAAUAUACCAGAAUUGUUAUAUGUGCUUAGGGAAGUGGGAUUAGAUCAAGAUUUUUUUGACAAAAUGAGAAAUCAAUGGCUCAAGGAGAGUAAGCCCAAAGAGAUAAGUAUUGUUUUCCUUUAGUAGCUUGCCGCAUAAUUCAUUCAAACAUAUUUAGAGUGGAGCAGGAAUAUUCAAACAAGGAAAUGUGCACAAUAUCUGUUAGUAUACAUGUGACACUUUCCCCUCUUUCGACUAAUGAUUGCCUCCUGCCGGGUAUCACUAAUAGCACAUUCAUCACAUCAUUUGGGUAGCUCAUUCUGGUGUAAGUCGGGCCAAUUUAGAAAAGAUUUUAAAGCAGAUUCAUACAGGUUAUAGAAGUCAGAGUCAAAUAGUAUAAUAAGUGAUUUGUUUGUGCAUAAUUUCUAAUUGAUCGUCUUCUAAGGAUAAAUGGAACCGCUACCUUUCCUCUCUCCAAUAAACUAUUAGACCCUGGUUGUAACUAUUUUCAUCUUGGUGUGAUUUAUAAGGGAGGCCAUGCCAUUAGUUUUUUGUUAUUACAUGCUGUGAUGACCCCGAUUCAUUGAUGUAUAGUGUCGUAUGUGGUCAAUUACCUAAUAUGGUAGUUACACUUCUCCUGGUUUGCCUUGGUCUAAAAUCUGACUUUUGGACUGAUUGUAGUCAAUCUGAAUUAGUGAGGUUCUUUUUUCCAACUGUCCAUGUUCAGUUCUCUACAUUAUCAUGCAUUUUCUUUGGUUUAAAGAUGUCAUGAUGUUCACCAAGGCAGAGAAGAAAUGUUUUAAAGUUGUCCCUUCAAUUGAAACAAGUAUGACUUGGUCCUUAGUGCCUAUGCAAACAUGAAAACGGAAGGUCGAGAGGUUUAAAUAUGUCAUGAUGUUUACAAUUGCGGAUAUCCUGCUUCAGGUACUUGCCUGAUAACUCACAAUUUCAACACAGAAGUUACUAAUCUGUAAGACAUGCCCUCUCUCAUUCAAUGAUGUCCUGAAAUUUUCACACAAAGCUUUGUAAUCUUGCCAAGUAACAAGAGAGCCAAGUAAUCAUGCGAAUUUUCAGAGAACUUCAAGUGGCAUGCCACCAUUUGCAAUGGUCGUGAUGUAGUGAUAAUUAAUAAACUGCAGGCCUUCUAAAUAUUCUAAAGUUGCAUAUCUAAGAGCAUAUUAUAUUUCUCAUAAACAACUGGAGUUAAGCUUCUAUCCUCUUCCUGUCUUAAAGGAAUUAUCUGUUGAGUAAGCUAUAGUCUCUUUGUUUGACUAGCUAGGCUGUGUUACAUACAUGUAUAAGAUGAUGCUUCUGUGGCUAUAACUGGUGCCUGCCGUGCUAAAUAGGAAGCACCCUAUUAAUUACCCACCUCAAUUUCAUUAGUGCAUUCGGCCUGUGAAUUUUACCCCAGACUAUAAAUCCCCUCCAAACGAAACCCUAUAGGUGUACUAUGACUCUUAAUAGUGUAUCCUUGUAAAAGUCAGUGUGUUGGGUUAUUUUUUUGGUGUGGUUAGAGAACUCGACUCCAUUUGGAACGAGGGUUUGAGUUUUAUUUUUCCUAAACCUUUGAAAGGCAGAGCCAUGGAAUUAUUUUGUGCUCUCAUUCCUCUGGAUGGAAGCUCUAACUUUUCCUCUUUGUUUCCAAUAAGCUACUUUCUUCGAGAUUGUGCAAUGAAGGAUUUUGAUGGUAAGGGAUCGUAGAGCCUCGGGUGACUAGCAUUAAGAUAGGAAGGCUAUUGCCGCCCUUGUCCCUUGCUGCUGGGUUGCCACAGUGGCGUCAAUCACUGGCUUAUUUAGAACAAUAGUUAGUGGAUUUUGUGAUAAGGGUGAGGGCCGAGAGUGAGAGGGACGGGGUUGGGAUUGUUCUGUUGUAUGCGUGAAAUUAUUUCCCUACUUUAGAAAAUAUGGCAAAUUGCAUUUCAUUAGAGAUUGAUUUACAGCAAAUUGCAUGAGCGAGUGGUUCAUGCAUUUUUCAUCAAGUUGUACAUUUUCUUGGUUACGACAUAAGGGUAAAUGUACUGGUUGGUUGCUUCAAGACUUAAUAACAGACACUAUGACAAUGGCUCAAGAGAUAUCAGAUCUACCUUCUUGGAUGGGGGCGUUAUGGGUGGCGCACGCCUCGGCCCCCUUGAUGGCCGUGGUGGAUGGACAUGAACACGAGGGGGGAUCAGGGCGGAGAGCAGGGUGGUUGGCGGGGGACUCAUCCUUGGCAGUUCAUGGGAAAGUAUGGUGUGAAGCAGAGGGGGCGCCAUGGCGAAGGUGAGGUAGCCGUCAUCCGGUCAUCUGUACUCCUAAUGUCUCAGUUGGUAGUCUCCGCUCACUGGUUAAAUUUCGUCCCACCAACACCGGGUUUUUUUGUCCUCCCUCCCACCUCCCACUCCCAGCUAUUCCCACCGGCUUUAUUUUAUGUGAUCUGAAUCUGAGCGAGUCUUAAAUUUUGGUGCAGUGUGAAAGGAGGAAAAUGAUCACCGGAAAGCAGGUAGAUCUACACCUUGAGAGAUGGCAUUUUGCGGUACAUUGUUUAGGUAAGGAUAUUGUGCUUUCUUCUGAAAACUCUGGACUGUAUAUUGAGUUGUGUUCCAUUUUUUUAAAAUUACUUAGAAUCCUGCUUCUGGCAAUACUAUGAACUGGCAUACCUCGUGAUCAUGAGAGGAUGACAAGUUCCUGAUCCCCAAGAACGCCCUCAUGUGCGGCUGCCGGUCGUCGGACAAGACAUCUCUGACGACUUAGCCACACAACGAACCUAAGUUCGUCAUGGGAGGAUGUCACCUUGGACUGGAGCAACAGACGUCGAAAAUUUACUAGGAAAAAAGGCUCACAAAUAAGAGUGACCCAAACACAAAUUGUCGUACGUUUGCAAUUAAACUCUUAGUAGCAGCUUGAUUCUUACUAUUGUUACUUUGGUGGUGGGUAUAAUUAGUCAUGUAGUAGCAUCUUAGCUUCAUCUUAUUUCUUGAGAUCAUAUCUAGCUAUCAGAUCUUCAAGAGUACACCAUAAAAAUUGAAAGGCCUAUCAGCUUCAUAGAAGAAAGUUAGUCUUAUGAUAGAAGAAAGGCCCAUCAGCCCUUACAGUGCCUGAUUGGUUAGCGACUGCUUUUUAGGCUCAACUGAUUACUGACUACGUCCAACAACAUAUGAGUGACAUGACCAAGUAGAAGUAAAUUUCGUUGUGAUCAAGAUGGUGCCUUUAUUUUGGAAAACACGAUUGAGAUGGGUAGGCGCAUGGGCAUCUCACCGGAACAAAUAGACAGACUGAUUUCACUCAUACACAGGUUGAUUAUAUUAUACGGUCAACUCACGAAGUAGCCGGAUACCUUCUGCUUGAAGUUUGAAAGCCAUUAGCAUGCUAAAUUAUAUGGAUGUGCUGGUCUUGACGUGUGUGCACGUACAUGGUAAAAUAAACUUGAGUAAUGAUUAAUACCUUGUUUACUCUUUUUUUGCUUUACAGGUAUUUGGAUAUCUAUUAUCAUUCAAGAUAUCUUAAGGAGAAAUUUGGUUUUUGAUGAACUGAAACAAUAUACCAAUAAAAAUUUAGCGCUUGGCUGUACAUAUGAAUGUUAACUUUGUUAAAAUAAUUCUCCCUUUAUAAGAGAAGAUUUCUUAGUUCAAAUAUAUUUUUUGAAAAAAUAUAGUAUUUUCCUGACAAUCCUUUUGAUUCUAAAACAUCCAUAUCUCAGAAGGAUAAUAGUGGUGUGUUUAUGUUGCUUUGGGUCUCUUAUCACUCGGAUCAUUCAUCAGAAAAAUAUUUCAAAAAUAAUUCUAUUUUGACGUUUCCUUUGUGUUCAUUGUUCCAUCAUAGUAGUUUAGGUUCACAUCAAACCAGACCAUAUGUUUCAGUUUCACUCUUUGGACCAUGAUGGUGGUGUGCAAGGUGGGCUAGAUCGUAAUACUAAAAG